UACGGAGGAUCCGAGCGUUAUUCGGAUUUAUUGGGUUUAAAGGGUGCGUAGGCGGUUUGAUAAGUUAGAGGUGAAAUGUCGGGGCUCAACCCCGAAACUGCCUCUAAUACUGUUGGACUAGAGAAUAGUUGCGGUAGGCGGAAUGUAUGGUGUAGCGGUGAAAUGCUUAGAGAUCAUACAGAACACCGAUUGCGAAGGCAGCUUACCAAACUAUAUCUGACGUUGAGGCACGAAAGCGUGGGUAGCAAACAGG
Molecule: ribosomal RNA, 253 nt
Filed under: uncultured bacterium
Lineage: Bacteria
Description: partial 16S ribosomal RNA
Rfam family: Bacterial small subunit ribosomal RNA
Source: RNAcentral